Molecule: ribosomal RNA, 497 nt
Filed under: uncultured bacterium
Lineage: Bacteria
Description: partial 16S ribosomal RNA
Rfam family: Bacterial small subunit ribosomal RNA
Source: RNAcentral
GACGAACGCUGGCGGCGUGCCUAAUACAUGCAAGUUGAGCGCUGAAGGUUGGUACUUGUACCGACUGGAUGAGCAGCGAACGGGUGAGUAACGCGUGGGGAAUCUGCUUUUGAGCGGGGGACAACAUUUGGAAACGAAUGCUAAUACCGCAUAAAAACUUUAAACACAAGUUUUAAGUUUGAAAGAUGCAAUUGCAUCACUCAUAGAUGAUCCCGCGUUGUAUUAGCUAGUUGGUGAGGUAAAGGCUCACCAAGGCGAUGAUACAUAGCCGACCUGAGAGGGUGAUCGGCCACAUUGGGACUGAGACACGGCCCAAACUCCUACGGGAGGCAGCAGUAGGGAAUCUUCGGCAAUGGACGAAAGUCUGACCGAGCAACGCCGCGUGAGUGAAGAAGGUUUUCGGAUCGUAAAACUCUGUUGGUAGAGAAGAACGUUGGUGAGAGUGGAAAGCUCAUCAAGUGACGGUAACUACCCAGAAAGGGACGGCUAACUACGUG